GCGCCUGUACGUCUUUUUGUUAGCACACAUAUUGUGGUCACAAGCUGAAAUUUGUCAUGCGCCAUAACUCGUAACCAACCUGCUGUAGCCAGUUGAUCAAGAUCUUCUGCCAUGGCUGCUCCUAGUGUAACACUCAACAACGGUGAGAAGAUACCAGUUCUUGGCCUUGGCACCUGGCAAGGCCUCGAUGACCCAGGUGUCGUGGAACAAGCUGUUAAAGAUGCUAUCGAUGCUGGAUACCGACACUUUGACUGUGCCAUGAAAUAUGGCAACGAGGAUGUCAUUGGCAAGGCAAUUCGAGAAAAAAUUUCCGAGGGAGUAGUCAAAAGAGAAGAUCUUUACAUUGUUACAAAACUCUGGAAUGACAAGCACAAAAAAAAGGAUGUCAUCGAAACAUGCAAGAAAUCUUUGGAAAACUUUGGAUUUGACUACAUCGACUUGUACCUGAUACACUGGCCGAUUUCAGUCGAAGAAGCAACCGGUGACUUAUUCUCUGGAAAGUUCGUCGAUAUCCCGCUCGAGGAAACAUGGGAGGGAAUGGAGGAGUGUCAUCGUCUGGGUUACACCAAGAGCAUAGGCCUCAGCAACUUCAACUCGGUGCAGAUAGACCGCAUCCUGAAAGUGGCAAAAGUUAAGCCGGUUGUUAACCAGGUCGAGUGCCAUCCAAACUUGAACCAGAAGAAAUUACGCGACUUCUGCGCAGCCCGAGGAAUAGUUAUAACUAGUUACAGCCCCCUCGGCGCUCCUCGCAGGUCUUGGUUUAAGCCAGGCGACCCCCUCGUGGUAAUUGACGAACCGGAAAUCGUCGCGAUAGGAAAGAAAUACGGCAAAAGUCCUGCUCAAGUCGUGCUUCGAUAUCUGAUUGACAUCGGCACCGUCCCAAUUCCAAAGUCCAGCUCGAAGAAACGCAUCCAGGAGAAUAUCAACCUGUUCGACUUCAAACUGACCCCCGAGGAGGUGGCGACAAUCGACAAGUUCGACAUUGGCGUUAGAGUUACCCCAGUUGAAGAGUUCACUGGUCAUCCGGAAUAUCCAUUCCGUAUUGAGUUUUGAGGAUUUUGCUGUUUUAAAACUUUACUUAAGCAGCCCUACUGCUACAUUUGAUUUUAUUUCUUUUACACCAUAAUGUUAUAACUAAAUUCUAGAUCGCAGUAUUUCCUUAGCGUGCCAAAUUACAAACAUUGUCAAUUGUGAAAGAAAAUAUCUUCAAUCAAUAACUACGAACUGGUACAUCCUGAUUCCACAAAUGAUGCUUCACUUUUAGCGAAUGAAAACACAGACACAAACGAAGAUGACCCAAACAGCGUUUAAGAAGGUGAAUCAGAUUUGUGUACAUCGUGGAGGACGUCGGUUAUUGCCAAGUGGAAUAUUUCUCGUUCGUCAGAGAUUCUUAAUCCCUGCAUUCAAAGGAGCCUUACAGUGUAGAAAUUGGAAUAUCAUACUGGUCAUCAUCAAAAUAUAACUGGAGUGAAAUGACUCCACGUAAAAGGCUGCUGUCCCUCCAAUUGCAGACAGAGAUUUCCCCGAUUUACAAAAACGCGACUGACGACCCGCGAUUCACGUGGUCAGCAAGGAAAACCGGAUUAAAAUACUGGCCAAUCACACAGUGUAUUCGAUUUUCAACAACUCCAGUGGAGAUGGUAAAAAUGCCGGAAAAUAAGCCGUUGAUCGUCUUUUCAAGCAAUAAUACCGCCAAUUUCAAGCAUUCAGUUGAAAGAAAUAACAUUACGCCGAUCAAAAAUACUCUUUUCGAAUCCCCAUGGAAUCCGCAACCAUCACUCAACGAGACCUUGACGGUCGAUGAGGAAUUCGAUGAAAGUUAUAGUCGCGGAAGAUCCCCUUCUGUCAGUUUUCUCGAAGAAAUCAUCACCCUCAAUGAAACUAUAACGAUUUCGGACGAGGAAGCAAUCGAGACACCGAAGUUACAGGAUAACAUCAUCCGCAGGAUGAAUUACAAGGAGGUUAAAAAUUCUCAUACUUAACAAAAGGGACACGCGGAGCUUGAAAAUAAAUUCAACGGGAGAAUGAAGAAAAAAAUCGGAUCUCAGUUGCGUUGUUCGAUAAAAAGCGACGAUUCAGCCAUUGAAUCAGUCAAAUUAUCAAAUUCGGUAUUUGAAGUUCAACCACCCAAUUCUGAAAAGUUUUUACCAUCUUAGCCGCGCUGAUCACGUCGAUAUUAUUCAAUGGGUAACGUAGUCCCUGUUUUUUUACGCCGUAGACUUAAGUUCGAUCAAAAGUGUGCUGGAAACAUGAACGUAUUAUUUGAAUUGUUUACAAUCGUUCUUACGGAUAUCCGGUUUUACUAGAAAUAUUUGAUUCUUAUUCUCUUAGGUCAUAAAUCUUCACCUGUCUUAAUCAAGAAUCACGCAUGCAUUUGUAUAAAUAUCUUUUAUUAGAUUUAUAGCGUAUGAUAUAUCCUGUUAUUAGUACAAUUAUACAUUAGUUCUAAGAUGAAGAUUCACGCUCAUUUAAACAGUAGCUAACAACUCGUUUUCGCAUUCAACGAACGCGUUAAAUCAUAGUUAUUUUUUCUUAGAAUAAAGAAUUUUUCACAU
RNAcentral lists this unclassified non-coding RNA (2555 nucleotides) under Neodiprion pinetum (white pine sawfly). RNAcentral describes it as "aldo-keto reductase family 1 member B1-like, transcript variant X4". Lineage: Eukaryota; Metazoa; Arthropoda; Insecta; Hymenoptera; Diprionidae. The record is from RNAcentral.